RNAcentral lists this ribosomal RNA (477 nucleotides) under uncultured bacterium. RNAcentral's name for it is "partial 16S ribosomal RNA". It matches the Rfam family "Bacterial small subunit ribosomal RNA", at positions 28 to 523 of the family's 1533-position model. The record is from RNAcentral.
GACGAACGCUGGCGGCGUGCUUAACACAUGCAAGUCGAACGGUAAGGCCCUUCGGGGUACACGAGUGGCGAACGGGUGAGUAACACGUGGGUGAUCUGCCCUGCACUUCGGGAUAAGCCUGGGAAACUGGGUCUAAUACCGGAUAGGACCACUGCCUGCAUGGGUGGUGGUGGAAAGCUUUUGCGGUGUGGGAUGGGCCCGCGGUCUAUCAGCUUGUUGGUGGGGUGAUGGCCUACCAAGGCGACGACGGGUAGCCGGCCUGAGAGGGUGACCGGCCACACUGGGACUGAGAUACGGCCCAGACUCCUACGGGGGGCAGCAGUGGGGAAUAUUGUACAAUGGGCGCAAGCCUGAUGCAGCGACGCCGCGUGAGGGAUGACGGCCUUCGGGUUGUAACCUCUUUCAGCACCGACGAAGCGCAAGUGACGGUAGGUGCAGAAGAAGGACCGGCCAACUACGUGCCAGCCGCCGCGGUAA